RNAcentral lists this transfer RNA (91 nucleotides) under Candidatus Omnitrophota bacterium. Its description in RNAcentral is "tRNA-Ser". It matches the Rfam family "tRNA". Rfam says of the family: Transfer RNA (tRNA) molecules are approximately 80 nucleotides in length. Their secondary structure includes four short double-helical elements and three loops (D, anti-codon, and T loops). Lineage: Bacteria; Pseudomonadati; Candidatus Omnitrophota. The record is from RNAcentral.
GGAGAGGUGUCCGAGCUGGCUUAAGGAGCACGCUUGGAAAGCGUGUGAGCUGUAACAGGUUCCCAGGGUUCGAAUCCCUGCCUCUCCGCCA